Molecule: long non-coding RNA, 7313 nt
Organism: Misgurnus anguillicaudatus (oriental weatherfish)
Lineage: Eukaryota; Metazoa; Chordata; Actinopteri; Cypriniformes; Cobitidae
Source: RefSeq, a predicted model, not a curated record
AUGUGACUGAGCAUAUUUUUACUCAAAAAUUUAGUUAAAUCUUAAAAUUAACUGAAAUUCUGUUUAACUUACAGCCUCCUCUGCAGAUCUCUUGUAGGACUUGACCUUCAACUGGAGUUUGUCAACCAAGUCCUGAAGACGAGCCAGAUUCUUCUUAUCUUCCUCAGUCUGCAAAUGGAAUCAAGUUGUACAAAGAUCCUGUUGGGGAAUCCUUUUCUGCAGAUUCGGAUGCCCUCCAGCACACCGUUACAGCGCAGCUGGUGCAUGACCAGAGGAUUCUCCAUCGCCCCAGGAGUUUUCGUCUCAUUGGGGAUGAUGCAGCGCACAAAGUGAGGAACUACAGAUAAUGAACUGAAGAAGCAGCACUCAGCCACACUGAACAAGCCUUUCAGCAAGAUCCAUUGCAAUCCUUCAGCUUCACUCUUCAUCGUGCCCUUUCUGUGAGAGGAAAAGACAUCAAAAGGGUUUUGGAUAUGAAGGAUCCUGUUGGGGAAUCCUUUUCUGCAGAUUCGGAUGCCUUCCAGCACACCGUUACAGCGCAGCUGGUGCAUGACCAGAGGAUUCUCCAUCGCCCCAGGAGUCUUCGUCUCAUUGGGGAUGAUGCAGCGCACAAAGUGAGGGAUUGACGUCUCAUAAAAUCAAUGAGAAGGAGGACAGCUGCAGUUUUGUAUGCAGUCAGUGUAGAGGACAUUUAGAGGAUACCUGUUGAUCUUAACUGUUCACCAGUGAUACAUCGUUACAGAACUUGACCUGUAAAGAAGGACACAACACAAAUAAAUAUGGAUCCUGUUGGGGAAUCCUUUUCUGCAGAUUCGGAUGCCCUCCAGCACACCGUUACAGCGCAGCUGGUGCAUGACCAGAGGAUUCUCCAUCGCCCCAGGAGUUUUCGUCUCAUUGGGGAUGAUGCAGCGCACAAAGUGAGGGUGAGUGGACCUCAAAUUAGUCAUCAACUUGUUCAGGUUCUCCUGUGAGCAGAAUUCAUGUAAUCAUUUUCUCUGAAUGGUUUACAUUAAUGUUUAGCUUUUACAUUUAGUGUUUCAUAAUGCCAAGUGCACGAGUACUUUAACCCUUACCCUAUGGAGAGCAGACACAGUUUGGAAAGAAGAACCUUUUUUCUUUUUCUUUUCUUUCUCUUUACCACCACUUUCCUGCGAAACUUUAAAGUAAAAAAAAAAUUCUCUAACAUGAAAAGCAUAAAGCAAUUCAGAAUACUAAUUUCUGUGUUCAAAAGACUAUCUUGGACUAUCUGUUUUAAAUAGACCCCAAAUCCUUUUUUCAUUAUAAUCAAUUAAAACAUUUCUUAUAAAAUGUGCAAAGUGUUUUGUCUGUAUGUAACGCUACAGUGCAGUUUGGACACAUCACUAAUCUUAGAGAACCCAUGUGAGUCUAAGCAGGUGUAAAAUACUGUGGAUAAGAUUCUGGAAGGUCUUUAAAACUGAUCGCAAAUCCACUUAUAUUUAAUAGACUUCUCACCCGAAUAACGGUUGAAAUUUGCUCUUACCCGAAUCAGCGCUGGCAUAGUUUGCAAACAGGUUAGAAAGUAGUUUCAUGGUGGACUUCUGAUAAAGGCCAACAACAGUCUCAUUCAGAGGAUCCUUGUUCUUCACCAGCCAGUUAUUGAUGUUGUAGUCAACAGUGCCAGCAUAGUGAAUUAGGGAGAAAUGAGCCUCUGGUUUACCCUUGACAAUCCUGGGCUUCUGGAAAUUGUUUGAUUUCCCCAAGUGGUUGUCAUAAAGCUUAGCUUUAAAUGUUUGAUCACUGGCUUUGGGGAACAUGCACUCCUCUUCAAGGAUCGACAUGAUACCCAUGGGCUGUUGAGAAUUGGUUGGUUUUGGUGGGUUUAUUUAAAUAAAUACGUAACAAUUUGGAUAUUAAAUAAUGCUUCAAUAUUAAAUUAGUGCCUUUGACCUUGUACCUUUUCAAUAAGAUCAAUGCAAGCCUGCAAGUCCAUGCCAAAGUCGAUGAACGUCCAUUCAAUUCCCUCCUUCUUGUAUUCUUCUUGCUCCAGCACAAACAUGUGGUGGUUGAAGAACUGCUGCAACUUCUCAUUAGUGAAGUUGAUGCACAGCUGCUCAAAGGUGUUGAACUGCAAAUGGAAUAGAUUGUGUGAUCACAACACUGCCACUGCAUGUGAAUGUGAAUAACAAUAAUCAGUUAAUAUUAGCUUACUUCAAAGAUCUCAAAUCCAGCAAUGUCCAGCACACCAAUGAAAUACUGGCGAGGCUGCUUGGUGUCCAGGGAUUGGUUGAUUCUAACAACCAUCCAGAGGAACAUCCUCUCAUACACUGAUUUGGAAAGAGCGCCAACGGCAUAGUAGACCUGUCCAAUAAGAAUGAUACAUAACAUCUUGAAAAUGUGUUAAUGUAUUGUGUUUACAGUUAAUUGUAAUGAUGCCAUGAAAGCGUAACCACCUGCUGGACAUUUUGUCCCUUGGUGACCCACUCAUUUCCUACUUUAACUCUCGGAUGGCACAAAGACUUGAUAAGAUCAGCAGAGUUCAGGCCCAUCAGAUAAGCUGAUUUAUCAGCAUCUGUUGUCAAUAUUAGAAAGUGGUUGAAUGAAGCCAGCAACCAAUAACUACACGUAACACAUGUAGGAUUUUAUCUUAAUACUGACCCUCAGUCCCAUCAGCCUCGGCCUGUUCCUCUCUUUGCUUCUGUUUGAACUUCAUGUUGCCGUAGUGCAUGAUGGCACCAGUUAGCUUGUAGAUGCUGUUCUUCUCCUCUUGGGUGAAGCCCAACACAUCAAAAGCUUCCUAGAGCAAAUAUACAGUGUCUGUUUAAAUUCAUGACACAAUAAAAGCCACAUAAUCAGUUUUCUUUGUAAACGUACAUCAGUGGCCAUCAGCUCAUCAGCAUCAUUAAUAGAGGCCACUUGUGUUUCUCCUUGGGAGAUGAAGGCAUAGUCAUAGGGGUUUGCUGUGAUCAGUAACAUCUCUAAAAUAGAUAACACACAACAAUUAUAAAUCAUUAAGUAAUGUGCUUUGUUUGAAAUGUUAUAGAUGUUUUACCCAGCACAUAUUUGUUCACCUAACAGUUCUGGUUUCUUCUGAGACAGGAUCUGGUAGAAGAUGUGGUAGUCUCUCUCAGCCUUCAGCUGGAAAGUCACACGAGACUUCUCCAGAAGAUCUGUCAUGCACAGUAUUUGCAUUAAAAGCAUGAAUUUCAUUGCAUCCCAAGAAACAUGUGUGGAUGAAACAGUGCUCUUACAAGUUUCAAUAUCUGCAGAAGCGAGUUUUCCACUUGCAGCAAAAUGGAUUCGGAUAAAUUUGCCCUGUUUGAAAGGAUAACCAUCAGCAAGUUUAUCUCUGACAUUAAAUCUGUCAAUCAGUUUUUACUGCCAUUUCAUUAACUUACAAAUCUGGAUGAGUUGUCAUUUCGGAUGGUCUUGGCAUUACCAAAGGCCUCCAGAGCAGGGUUACACUGGAUGAUUUGAUCCUCCAGAGUUCCCUAAAAACAAUAUUUCCAAUAAGUUAAAUAAGUGCUUGUUUAUGGUGGCAAUCAAACAAAAAGGCAGUGAAGUGUAUAAGUCUCUGGUAACCUUUUUGUCAGUGGUUUCUUUCCUUGUAGGACAAGCUGCAAUGCUGGCAAAGUACUGAAUGACUCUCUUGGUGUUAACAGUCUUUCCUGCACCGGAUUCUCCACUUGAGGCAGAAAGGCAACGACAACUUCCUGGUUGUACACUGGCAACCACUUGUAGGGGUUUACAGUGACACAGAAGAGCCCAGAGUAGGUCUGCAGAGAGAUACACCGAGGUUUGUGUCCUGCUCAUACAUGAUCAGAUGAACGUGUUCAGUUUUAGACUCAACUCACGUAAAUCAUCCAAGCUGCGUAACGCUCUUUGAGGUUAAACAGCACAGCGGGUUCAUGCAGGAAGGUGAACAUCGCCAUGUCCUCAAUUUUAUCAAACUUUGGCGGGUUCUGAGGAUGAAUAUCAGCUUCCUUCACAGUUACUGUCUGUCAGGAACAAAUAUUCAAACAUUUACUCGAACCCACAUAUUCCUCAAAUGCAGUACUAUUCACCAGAUGAACUUCAACCUACUUUGCCCUUAGAAGUCUCACAGGUGACUUUAUCACCAUCUCGACUAAUAAUAGAUGCUUUAAUGAACUCCUCUUCAGGAUCAGGGACGAAGCAUUCUUUCUUCAUGUCAAAGGGGCGAGUCUGGGCCUCCAGACGCUCAAUGUCUGAUUUCCUGAGAAACGGAGCAGCGGCUCCAAACUCCGCCAUCGCAGCAUCCCCCAUAUUUCACUGCUAAUAAUAAAAAUACUGAAUGUAUAACAUAUUUACAUUUAUGCAUUUGGCAGAUGCUUUUAUCCAAGUGCAUUUCAAUGUAUACAUUUUUGUAUCCAUAUAUGUGUUUCCUGGAUUGAUGACUGCUAAUGCAACGCUGUACCACUGAGCUACAGGAGCAUAUUUAAAACUACACAUUACUAGAUGAUGUAUGAUGAUACUGUAUCUUAUAAUCCUAUGCAUCAAAGCUCCAAUACUCUUUCAUAUAUAUUUAUCAGUUUAUCCCAAAAAAAUAAAUAUAUUUAUUUUCAAUUUAUAUGCAUGUCGCAUUGGAAAAAAAACUUUUUAUGUUACAAACAUAACAGGUUUAAAAAGAUUAAAAUUAAAUAUAUUUCCAACUGCAAAAAUAUACUUAAAAUUUUAUGUCUUUUACAUACUUUUAUACUUUGGCCAGGAGAAAUAUAUAUUUUUUGCCAUAUGGGUUUUAAAAUUAGAAAUAUAUUUGUUGCCCCUGAAAUAAUAUAUGAAGGUUAAAACAAAAUCUAUUUUUAAAUUCAAAAAUAGAUUUAUUUUCUACAAAAUGUAUUUAGCAUAUAUUUAAAACAUAAUUUGGUCCAGAUAACACUUCAGACCUCAGUCAAUCAUUACACUGUUGUUAAUGUUUUCUGAUACUGAUGCACAUUGUAAUAUUAUCUUAAACAUUUAUUUUAACACAUCAAACAAAACAUGCAUUAUCACCAAUAAACCCCAUGUAUGAAAUACAUUGCCUACCUCUGAGAUUUACCGCCCCAGAUAAUAUUGCAGACGUCACCCUAAAACAUGUGAAGUGAAAAAGUCUUUUAUCAUCAAAAACAAACCCUUGUAAGCUUCAUUAAUUUUCGAGUAUUGAAAAUGAAUUCUCUGCAUUCAUCUGUUUCAUUUAAAGAAAUACGAUCCUUUAUAUUUGCCUGUUACCUGUACACGAGCUGUAGGCUUGAGGAAGAGUUUUCUUUCACCCUGUGCUUUUCCUCUCUUUUAUAAAGCAACUAUCUCUCUAAAUAAGGGGGCUGGCAGUCUGUUAUGCCAAACUGCUGUUGUAUUUGGUUGAGCUGAGGUAGUGGGAUUAAAGUUUUUCAUAUGCAGUCAUUCACAUUGAGGUAAGCAGAAAGCCGUAUCACUGCCAGCUGCCAUCAAAUCAUGACUAAAUAAUCACAACAUAAAUCACUAAAUUAUUGCAUUGUCAUUUAUAUUUAAAUAUGUGACCCAGUCUGUAAAAACCCAGCUAAAGUAAUUUUUUGUGACUAACGUUUUUUAUAUAAAACGUUUUACAUUCUGUGAAAAUAUAACUUUGAUAAUUGACUGAGUAAGGUCAUAUCAAAGAUUGAAAUCAAACGCUAAUGCUCCAAAUCACAAAUGUAUGGAAGCCCAUUUCCGCAACAUAAGAAAAAUUGUGCUCUAGUAAAUCAUAAUUAUGAGAUAAAGAAAAGUUGAAAUUAUGACUGUUAAAGUUUGACUUUUAUCUCAUAAUUUUGAUUUACCAGAGCAUAAUUUUUUCUUAUGUGGCAGAAAUGGGCUUCCAUACAAAUGCAAUCGUGCAAUCUGAACAAAUCAUUUGAGAAGAAACUGAAAUGUUUAUUUUAGUCAUUGUUUUCUCUAACCAAUUCUUAGAUUUACAUGUGAUUGUCUGAUUAAUUUCUGAGCUGAGGUAAGUCAACUUAAUAAACUAUCUGAACUUGACAUUCAACCAUUGAGUCAGUUGUCAUUUUUUCUCUUAACACACCAACAUGCACAGAGUUAAUGGCUUGUUUAUCUAGCUUAAUAACAAUAAAAGGCAGUAAAUAGUAGAUAGUAAUUUUAGUAUCCAUUUUUUCUAAUUUUAGUGAUUUGUCUCAUGUUAUCAGAGACAAACAAUUCACAUCACAGAAGUUUGAAAUGUCACAGCUGUUGUGUGCAAACAUCACCAGUUGUCUGUCAUUGUUAGAGCAGAUUUCAGACGGGUUGAAGGUCAAUGAAAUUAAACAAUUGUUUGGUUUACUGACACAUGAUCGUCCCCACAUUUGUCUUUAGGUACAAAGAUAACCCUGUGAAAUUCCUGGAUCUUGACGCCCACAGGUUAAGCCGCAGCACCAGUAGCACAUCCAUUUAUGUCACACUUCACUGAAAGAUAAAUAUAAAUAAAUGAACCCGUGAUGACCACCUUUGUUUUAUUGCAGCGAUGAAAGCAUAAAGCAUUCCUCGAGAGUCUUACUGUAAGUAUACUGUGAAUGUUCGCACGAUCACAAGACAAGUGAGAGAAUCUAUCCUCUCCGGAGGUAUCGUCUUUCUGAGGGUCAAACCUUUGGCUGCCUUCCCAAUCCUGCUGCUUAUGUGUACUGUAUCUGUUUAUAGCAUCAUUCAGCUUUGACAUUUUAACCAGUGCAUACAUCAAAGAUAUUAAUCAUUCAUUAUGGAAGGACGUUUCGUACCGUUCACCAUUUUCUGAAGGUUAUUAUUAUAACUCAGUGUUUGCCAACGUGCAACAAGUGUGAGAAUUAAAAACAAACCAGGUGAAGACAACCAACAAGCAAAGGUCAUACCGUUUAACAUGGUGCAAGGCAAGAAUCCUACAUGGAUGAUUACUCCUGUGAUCAAGUGGAUUAACAGUCAAGAGUACAAACUUGUUUAAAGAUGAUAAAGUGACUGACCUUGUGAUGAUUUGAGAGUCAAGGGCUGUUAUCCAGAAUUGUGUAUUGGUGUCAAAUAAAUUAACCAAUCUCUGUAUACACAAACUGAAGGACCAGAAAUAUUCAUCCAGAUAAAUAUUUUAAGGAACAAAUGAAAAGAGGGGUCGUUAAAUUGUUUGAAAAUAAUGCACACCCAAGGUGGUAAUGCGGCACAACGCAAAGCAGAGUUACACCGCAGGUGUGCAUUAUUUUCAAAUAAUUCAAAGGACCAGAGUCAAUUAUUCCUCUUAUACCACGGUUACCACAAACAUUGCUCUAAUAGUUAUUUUAUGACAUAUGAAAGGUCAGGUGUGCAUUUGUAGAAAAAUAAUAGGCUGGAUCGACUUCAUGCGGCGCCGGAAGAAGUCAAACAAGCCUAUUUUUUUUUCAACCAAUCAGAAU